Molecule: transfer RNA, 88 nt
Filed under: Deltaproteobacteria bacterium
Lineage: Bacteria; Pseudomonadati; Myxococcota; Myxococcia
Also listed under: 2 other names
Description: tRNA-Ser
Rfam family: tRNA
About the family: Transfer RNA (tRNA) molecules are approximately 80 nucleotides in length. Their secondary structure includes four short double-helical elements and three loops (D, anti-codon, and T loops). Further hydrogen bonds mediate the characteristic L-shaped molecular structure. tRNAs have two regions of fundamental functional importance: the anti-codon, which is responsible for specific mRNA codon recognition, and the 3' end, to which the tRNAs corresponding amino acid is attached (by aminoacyl-tRNA synthetases). tRNAs cope with the degeneracy of the genetic code in two manners: having more than one tRNA (with a specific anti-codon) for a particular amino acid; and 'wobble' base-pairing, i.e. permitting non-standard base-pairing at the 3rd anti-codon position.
Source: RNAcentral
GGAGGGAUGGCCGAGGGGUUUAAGGCGGCGGUCUUGAAAACCGCUUUCCUUCCGGGGAACGGGGGUUCGAAUCCCUCUCCCUCCGCCA